UACGAAGGGGGCUAGCGUUGUUCGGAAUUACUGGGCGUAAAGCGCGCGCAGGCGGCUAUCCAAGUCAGUGGUGAAAGCCCGAGGCUCAACCUCGGAACUGCCUUCGAUACUGCGGGUCUCGAGUCCGGGAGAGGUGAGUGGAAUUCCUAGUGUAGAGGUGAAAUUCGUAGAUAUUAGGAAGAACACCAGUGGCGAAGGCGGCUCACUGGCCCGGUACUGACGCUGAGGCGCGAAAGCGUGGGGAGCAAACAGG
RNAcentral lists this ribosomal RNA (253 nucleotides) under uncultured bacterium. RNAcentral's name for it is "partial 16S ribosomal RNA". It matches the Rfam family "Bacterial small subunit ribosomal RNA", at positions 524 to 776 of the family's 1533-position model. The record is from RNAcentral.